UGGAUUGCGCCACUCUCAGUGGGCUGAGCCCUCCUACAACAACUAGCGAUCAAGAACAUGCCCCACAGACAUGCCCACAGUCUAAUCAGACAGAGGCAAAUCCCCAGUGGAGGUUCCCUCUUCCCAGGUAUCUCCAAAAGCAAGUGAGGCCCAGCCAUUUCUUCACUGGCACCACACAUGAGGCUUUCGUACAACAUCACACAUUCCUUCAAAGGACCAUGAAUGAAAGGCUUGGUCACCAGCUUUUGGUGCCACCGGGAGUGACUGGAACCUUUAGGAGGUGGGAUCUAAUGGAGAGGCUGAACUGAACUGGAACCCAGAUGCAGAGAAGGACGAGUGAAGAGCACAGGGGUCCAGACCAGGCUAGUGAAACCCACAGAAACAGCUGACCUGAAUAUCCGGAAACUCUUGCUCCCCAGACUGAUAGCUGGAAUACCAGCAUGGGACUGAUCCAGACCCCAGGAACAUGGAUUUCUGCAUGGUCACCUUCCCUUGAAGUGAGGUGAUGGGUACCAGGAGGCCAAUAAGUUGAUGGAACAAUAAUGAUACCGCUUCUUGUUGUCAUCACUGUAAACUCCGUGAUAAGGGCCCAGAGGAACACGACCCUUGGAAUCUCUGAUGCUGGAAGCCUGGACACUUCCUCUGGCUUUGGCUGGGCUGUCUGCCAGGGUCAGAAAGCAUGCAGCUUCAGCCAGUUCUUGAGGCACGGACUCUGUGAUCUGUUUUCUGACUUACCUUCAUGCAGUAGAAUUAGAAUGCAGUUGCCUCAACCUUUUUGCCCUCCAAAUCCUUAGUCCCUGGCCAAGGAUCACUCACUUGAAC
RNAcentral lists this long non-coding RNA (822 nucleotides) under Cricetulus griseus (Chinese hamster). RNAcentral's name for it is "lncRNA (ENSCGRG00015029530.1)". Lineage: Eukaryota; Metazoa; Chordata; Mammalia; Rodentia; Cricetidae. The record is from RNAcentral.